GGGGUUCUCCAUCAUCUUGCUAAAGGAUUGGGCCAGGGACCCACGUGAUGUUGAGCCGAGCCGGGAGGGGUCAGGACCUGAGUAAACGUGGAGUGAGACCACCCCACAGGCGAUGGCUGGAUGCGCCUGUGCAAGUGCAAGCUGAUGCACAUGGGCAGGCUCCUGAGGCCUCAGGAAAAGGGGUAUCAUCCUAGCUCUGGUCAAAGAACAUGCUGUCCUGCCCAGAGAGCCAGGCUGUCCUCAUCAAGGGCUUCCCCUGGGGAGCUGAAGCAAGCCAAGGAGUUUGAGUUCAUUGUGAGUGACCCCAAAGUGUAUGAGGGUGUGAGGCAUGACACCAUUCUUCCCUCACCACCAUAGAGAUCUGAGUGGGUGAGACUCGGGAGAGAGGAGAUGACCAGAGGGAAAUGGAGUUUUGUAUUAUCAAAGGACGUUCUGCUUGUUGGAAGCAUCUAGAACCUGUGUGAAUAGCUAAAGAGCUCUAUGAGGGCAGGGACAAUGUCUUUAAUAUCUCCCUGCACAGUUCCUGCCCCUGAGUAGCAGGGGGUUUAGCAGCAUCUCUGGGCCAUACAGAUGGAAUACAAUUCUUCACCUGUUUAUUCCACCACUUCUGUUUGCCCACCUCUAUUCGUUCAUCUAUUUAUUCCCCAGAUAGUCUUUGGGAACAGGCCCUGUCCAGGGGAGUCCACGAGACAGACUCUGCUCUGUGCCUGCUCUCAGGAUGCCGACAGCUAGAGCAGUAAGUGAUGGAACAAAAAAUUACUGGUCACGGUCAUUGCAGUGAGGAACAUAAAACAGAAUGACGUCUGGGGGGAUGCUAUUUCAGUUUGGGUAGUCCAGGUGGCUCCCAUGAAGCAGGGACAUUGGAGAGCUGAGUGAUGAUGGAGGAGCUAACCCAUGCUGGGCAAGUUGGAGCGAAUUUUUUCAGGUUAUUUUUACACUUUAUGAAAAGGCCCACCCAGGCACCUGAACCUCGAGGACUGGAGCAUUUGGAAAUGG
Molecule: long non-coding RNA, 996 nt
Organism: Phyllostomus discolor (pale spear-nosed bat)
Lineage: Eukaryota; Metazoa; Chordata; Mammalia; Chiroptera; Phyllostomidae
Exons: 2
Source: RefSeq, a predicted model, not a curated record